CUCUUGUUAUUUAUAUGUUAUGGUUAUUAUGUAUUGUUGGUUACCAUUUAUUAGAUGUUUAUGUUGAUAUCACUUAAACCUGCGAAUACUGGCGGGUGACGCUAGGGGGUAGUGGUGAGCCGCAGCGCGUUUCACUUGUUGACCAGAAGAAGUCACACUGCCAGCUAUUUCAACACUGUGAUACAGAAAGCAAUCUAAUUGUUGUCUCUGUUGAAUUUGCAGACUUUACAGUGUGUGACAGAAAUAAAAACUAUAUGUGCCACCAGAAAAACAGCCUCUUCUGAUGUGUGCAACAUAUUCAUGGCGAGCCAGCCAGGAGGACUGCUGAUUGGAUGUGAGAGAGACAGUUCCUCCCUGAGACGAACCUAGAAGUAACAGAAGAUUAAUCAAUACAGAGAAUAAAGAACAUUUAAUAAAGACUG
Onychostoma macrolepis is the source of this 422-nucleotide long non-coding RNA. RefSeq lists it as uncharacterized. Lineage: Eukaryota; Metazoa; Chordata; Actinopteri; Cypriniformes; Cyprinidae. The record is from RefSeq and is a predicted model, not a curated record. The transcript has 2 exons.